Molecule: long non-coding RNA, 866 nt
Organism: Xiphias gladius (swordfish)
Lineage: Eukaryota; Metazoa; Chordata; Actinopteri; Istiophoriformes; Xiphiidae
Exons: 3
Source: RefSeq, a predicted model, not a curated record
UGGUAGUAAUGCUGUGGCAAUACCUAAGCUCAAGUUUGUACUUUCCUUGUGUUUGCCUAAACCUAGUUGAACUCCAUGCAUCAGGUUAAUCAUCUUCUGCUGAUCUCAAUCUGCCUGCCUCUCCCAGCACCUCGCAAGUCUGCCUUCCAGCCAACGGUCCUGCUCCUUCUCCCUGCCCUGCUUCACUUAACUCUGGUUCAGCUCCCCAAAACCUCACCUCAUCAACUUCUCAAAAUUUCAAAAGUCUGGAACAGAGUCUGAGCAAUGCCAACCAAGGCAAAGCGUAGAUCCUGAAAUGAAUGGAACAAUCUGGAGCCGAUACUGCAGGAGCUGCAAGACGGGAGAAACCAGGAUGAACUUUGAUGUCUCACACACCACCUGGACUUCUCAGCACAGAGUAUUAGAGACUUUAUUCAGGGUGGACAGAAUUAACUGACAGCAUAACAACGGAUCCAAUGGGAAAAGGUAACAUUCCCACAAUCAGAUGAUACAAGAUGGCAAUGACUUCUAAAAGGUGGAUUCUAUCGAUUUUUCCACAUCAGUGUGUGCUUUCAGGUGUCGAGGAGUACUUCUGCAUAUGUGAAAACAGAAGUGUGGUCCUUCAGUGUCUCCACAGGGAGCUGUGUGAAGUCUGAAAAAUGUCCGAAGACUACCAGUCUGAAAAAAAACUGGGGAUGUGAAGAAGUGAGGGCAUUUUCAUAUUAGAAUUGAUUGCUUUGCACCGUGCCUGAGUCUGCUGCAGGAUUGUGUCUCCAGGAUUCAUUAGCUGCUACUAACUUAAUACACCCCAACCUGUACAGUCAAAUGAAUCGAGCCAAUUUGUAAUGUUGGUAAGGUACGCACCAGGUUUUGACAAGGAGGAAGAA